UCGGGUAAGUUCCGACCUGCACGAAUGGCGUAAUGAUGGCCAGGCUGUCUCCACCCGAGACUCAGUGAAAUUGAACUCGCUGUGAAGAUGCAGUGUACCCGCGGCAAGACGGAAAGACCCCGUGAACCUUUACUAUAGCUUGACACUGAACAUUGAGCCUUGAUGUGUAGGAUAGGUGGGAGGCUUUGAAGUGUGGACGCCAGUCUGCAUGGAGCCGACCUUGAAAUACCACCCUUUAAUGUUUGAUGUUCUAACGUGGACCCGUAAUCCGGGUUGCGGACAGUGUCUGGUGGGUAGUUUGACUGGGGCGGUCUCCUCCUAAAGAGUAACGGAGGAGCACGAAGGUUGGCUAAUCCUGGUCGGACAUCAGGAGGUUAGUGCAAUGGCAUAAGCCAGCUUGACUGCGAGCGUGACGGCGCGAGCAGGUGCGAAAGCAGGUCAUAGUGAUCCGGUGGUUCUGAAUGGAAGGGCCAUCGCUCAACGGAUAAAAGGUACUCCGGGGAUAACAGGCUGAUACCGCCCAAGAGUUCAUAUCGACGGCGGUGUUUGGCACCUCGAUGUCGGCUCAUCACAUCCUGGGGCUGAAGUAGGUCCCAAGGGUAUGGCUGUUCGCCAUUUAAAGUGGUACGCGAGCUGGGUUUAGAACGUCGUGAGACAGUUCGGUCCCUA
Molecule: ribosomal RNA, 669 nt
Filed under: Salmonella enterica
Lineage: Bacteria; Pseudomonadati; Pseudomonadota; Gammaproteobacteria; Enterobacterales; Enterobacteriaceae
Description: partial 23S ribosomal RNA
Rfam family: Bacterial large subunit ribosomal RNA
Source: RNAcentral